GUGUAAUUAAUUAAAGUGAUUAUUAGGGAUGCCUAGCAAACAUUUAUUUAAAGGAGGAUAAGAACCAAAUGCUAUAUUGUGCGUAAACUCUUUGUAGCGAUCCUAGGGAAAACCUUAAAAUAUUUUUACGCAGUGAAUUGAAACAUCUUAGUAACUGUAGGAAAGGAAAUCAACAGAGACUCUAUUAGUAGCGGCGAGCGAAAGUAGAUUAGCCUAUUAAUUAUUAUUGUAUUAUAGAAAUAUUUGGUAUAUAUUCAAAAUAAGGUAAUAGGCCUGUAUAUAAUACAAUGUAAUAAAAUCAAUUAGAGUGGAAGAUAAUCUGCUUGAAUAUUGGGGAACCAUCCUCAAAGGCUAAGUAUAAAUGUUUAGCGAUAGUGAAAAGUAACGUGAGUGAAAGGUGAAAUUUAGUAAGUUGUAGACUGAUGAAAAAUACCUGAAUUAGUAAUCAUAUAAGCAAUUAGAGCUAUUUCUUUAGAUUAUAAUCUAAAGUAAUUGUGAUAAUGUACCUUUUGUAUAAUGGGUUAGCGAGUUAAUAGUAGUAGCAAGGUUAUUAACCCUAGUGAAAGCGAUAAUAUUUUUUAACACUAUUAGUAUGUCUGUAAAAAGCUACUUUUCCUAGUGUAAGUGUAGAGUAUAGUUACUAUUAUUAGACCCGAAACACGGUGAUCUAUCCAUGGCCAGACUUGAUUAGGUUGAAUGGGUUAAUGUUGCAGUAUUAUCCAAUGAGCUGUGGAUUGUCGGUGAAAGGCCAAUCUGACCGUGAUAUAGCUGGUACUCCUCGAAACAUAUUUUAGUAUGACUUCUUAAAUGAGAUUUAUGCGGGUACAGCAAUGAUCGCCAUGCAUUAUUCCUUAGGAAUAAUUGCGCAACAUGGGGGGUUGACAAGACUUUACCGUUGGUGUGUUAAACUCGAAAUCAACUUAAAUCGAUAAAAGAAUUUCAGACUACUCAUGAUAAGGUGGGUGGUCGAGACGGAAACAGCCGUGAACAUAGAAUAAGGUCCCAAAAUAAUGGUUAAGUGAAAUAAAGGCAGUUUUGGUUCAAAAACAACUAUAAAGUUAGCUUGGAAGUUGCUAUCUUUUAAUGAAAGUGUAACAACUUAGUAGUCUAUUGAAACUUAGCGCCAAAAAUUAACGGGUCUAAAUUAUUUACCGAAACUAUGUCGAUAUUAUUUAUAGAUAAUAUUAGGGUAGAGGAGCAUUCAGUAUGAUUGAAGAAUAGUCUUUGAUUAUUUGGACAUUACUGAAGAGAAUAUGCUAACAUGAGUAACGUAGAAAGAAGAUAUAAUUCUUCUCGCCGAAUGCCAGAGGGUUCCCAAGCGAUAUGUUAACCAGCUUGGGGUUAAAACGGUCUCUAAGAUAAUUGUAUUAACUUUAUAGUUAUUAUCGAUGAGGUUAUAAUAGAACGGAACCAGGAAAAAAAUAUUAUGCUAUUACCGUACCCUAAACUAACACAAGUUGGCAUAUUUGUAGAGAAUACUAAGGCGGAGAGAUAAUACUGUAUAAGGAACUCGGCAAAAUGCAUCUGUACACUAGAUAAGAAAGAUGACCCCUAGAGGGUAUCAUGGAAGCGUGAGGCACAACUGUUUACCAAAAACACAGAUAUCUGCUAUGUAAUAAACAUUGUAUAGGUGUCGAAUCUUGUCCGAUGUCAUAAGUAUAAUUAGAGGAACUAAAAGGAACUUCGAGAAGCUUUGAUCAAUGACAGUCUUAACUAUAAGGAUUUUAACAGUAGCGAAAUUCCUUGGCCGUUAAAUGCGGUCCUGCAUGAAUAGAGUAAUGAUGCUUCAGCUGUCUCAUACAGUAUCUCAGUGAAAUUGAAUUAGCCGUGAAGAUGCGGUUUAGGUGUGGGUAGACGGGAAGACCCUAUGCAGCUUUACUAUACCCCGUUAUGAGCCUGGUCGUGACUAUUAACAGAUAAAUACGGAGGUAUUCGAACACCCUUAAUUACAUUAAUAUAUGACUAUUAAGGAUAGAUAAUUAUGGAAAACUCACAAUAGGCGGCCAGAUUAUUGGUUUUUAACAAAACGAUAAUGACAGGAUGGUAGUUUAACUGGGACGGUUUCCUCCAAUAGAGUAUCGGAGGACUUUAAUAGGUAUGUUAGCAGUUCUGUUGGAGACAAAAUCUUUAUGUAUAUAUGAUAAACUACGCAAAGGUAUAAGCAUGCCAGACUGGAAGAUAGAUAUAUCGAACAGGUACGUAAGUAGGACUUAGUGAACCGAUGCUUCUUUAUGGAAAGAAUAUCGAUCAAGAAAUAAAAGUUACGCUAGGGAUAACAGGGUAAUAGCUCUCGAGAGUUCAUAUUGUCAGAGCUGUUUGCCACCUCGAUGUCGACUCACCUUCACCUCUUGGUGCACAAGCUAAGAAGGGUUCUGCUGUUCGCAGAUUAAAAAGGUACGCGAGUUGGGUUCAAUACGAUGUGAGUCAGUAUGGUUCCUAUCUUCCACACCAACAAAUAGUCAAGUUUAAACGGAUCUCCAGUACGAAAGGACCUAGAUCCGCGUUUCUAUGGUGUACCAAUUGUUGACCUGGGGACUGAGUUUAUAGAAUUUAUGGAAACAUGAAUUCGUAGAUUCACAUAGCGGGUAUCCUUGGAUUCAGCACCGUUGGGUAGCUACAAACGUUUAGGAUAAAAGCUGAAAGCAUAUUAAGCUAUUGAAGUCCAGUAAAGGCGACUAUAUGGAAAAUUAUUUAAUAAUAAUUUCCUCAAAAGUUAGAAAUAGACUAUUUCUUUAAUAGGUCACGAGUAUAAGUACGGAGAAAUAUUUAGCUAAGUGAUACUAAUUUAUGUUUUUAAUUACACCU
Molecule: ribosomal RNA, 2805 nt
Filed under: Lactococcus lactis
Lineage: Bacteria; Bacillati; Bacillota; Bacilli; Lactobacillales; Streptococcaceae
Description: 23S ribosomal RNA
Rfam family: Bacterial large subunit ribosomal RNA
Source: RNAcentral